RNAcentral lists this ribosomal RNA (481 nucleotides) under Staphylococcus pasteuri. RNAcentral describes it as "bacterial SSU rRNA". It matches the Rfam family "Bacterial small subunit ribosomal RNA", at positions 197 to 666 of the family's 1533-position model. The record is from RNAcentral. Lineage: Bacteria; Bacillati; Bacillota; Bacilli; Caryophanales; Staphylococcaceae.
AUAGUGAAAGACGGCCUUGCUGUCACUUAUAGAUGGAUCCGCGCCGUAUUAGCUAGUUGGUAAGGUAACGGCUUACCAAGGCAACGAUACGUAGCCGACCUGAGAGGGUGAUCGGCCACACUGGAACUGAGACACGGUCCAGACUCCUACGGGAGGCAGCAGUAGGGAAUCUUCCGCAAUGGGCGAAAGCCUGACGGAGCAACGCCGCGUGAGUGAUGAAGGUCUUCGGAUCGUAAAACUCUGUUAUCAGGGAAGAACAAACGUGUAAGUAACUGUGCACGUCUUGACGGUACCUGAUCAGAAAGCCACGGCUAACUACGUGCCAGCAGCCGCGGUAAUACGUAGGUGGCAAGCGUUAUCCGGAAUUAUUGGGCGUAAAGCGCGCGUAGGCGGUUUUUUAAGUCUGAUGUGAAAGCCCACGGCUCAACCGUGGAGGGUCAUUGGAAACUGGAAAACUUGAGUGCAGAAGAGGAAAGUGGAA